GUUCAGGUUCAUCUUCAUUGAUGAUGUCUUCAUUUUCUUGAGUUACCAACAUUGGAACUUGAAGUUUAUCCAAGGUACUUGCUUCCCAAUUCCAUGAAGAAUUUUCAUCCACCUUGAUAUCCCUGUUGGACAUCAUCUUCUUGGUUUGAGGAUUAUAGAUUCUAUACCCUUUAGCAUUGUCACAAUAACCAACUAAAACUCCAAGCUCUGCCUUUGGACUCAAUUUAUCCCUUUUUACAUCAGGUAUACGAGUAUAACAUAUACUCCCAAACACCUUCAAAUGUGAGACAUUUGGCCUAACUCCAUACCAAGCUUCAAAAGGAGUUAGCUUGUUCAAGGCUUUUGUUCGUAAUCUGUUCAAAAGAUAGGUUGCUGUAUUCACAGCUUUAGCCCAAAACUCUUUUGGAAUCUUCUUCUCAAGCAUCAAACAUCUUGCCAUUUCCAUCACCGUCCUAUUCUUCCUUUCACAAACUCCAUUUUGUUAUGGUGAAUAUGGCAUUGUCAACUGAUGUUUGAUCCCCACAGCAUCACAAAACUUGUCAAACUGAUCAUUCUUGUAUUCAGUUCCAUUAUCUGUCCUGAUGGCUUUAAUCUUGCAGUUACUCUCAUUUUCCACCAGAUUUUUGAACUUUUGAAAUACACCAGCAACCUCAGACUUCAUUUUCAAGAAAUACACCCAACACAUCCUUGUUAAAUCAUCAAUAAAGAGUAUAAAAUAUCUACUGUCAUUCAGUGUUUGUGUUCUCAUUGGACCGCAAACAUCAGAGUGGAUUAAUUCCAGCUUUUUUGAGGCUCUUCUUGACUGAUUUUUAGGAAAUGGUAGUCUUGUUUGCUUUCCAAGUUGACAGAUAUCACAUACACAACUAUCAUCACAUAUGUCAGGCAAAUUUUCAACAAGUUCCAUCUUAUGCAUUUGUUUAAGUGAAGUGAAAUUUGCAUGACCAAACCGUUUGUGCCAAAGUGAAGACUUCACAUCAGUACAAGAGUAUGCAUGAGAGGUCAAAUUUUUCCAUUCUAAAGGGAAGCUUCUUUGCUUCAUUUCUACUGUCAUUAAUUCAUUUUCACUUGGAUCAAAUAUAGUGCAACCACUAUCCUUAAAUACCAAAGUGUAAUUUUUCUCAAUCAAUUGACCCACACUUACUAAAUUUUGAUCAAUAUCUGGCACAUAAAGUACAUCGGGAAUAUGUUUGAUACCUGUUGAAGUUCUCACAGCAAUCACACCAAUUCCUUCUACUUUCACAUAAUCACCAUUUUCUACCUUCACCUUUGAUUUGUAUGUAUUAUUUAACUCAACAAAGAUGCUUAAAUUUGAAGUCAUAUGAUAUGUGCAACCACUGUCCAGUAGCCAAGUUCCAAUUUCACUACUCAUCUUAUGAUUUGUAGCUAUAAAUAGAUGCUCUUCAUUCAGGUUUGGGUGCUUGCUACUGUAAUGACUUCUCCUUCCGGCUUUUGCACACUUUUUGAACAUGUCCAAACUCUUUACAUGCUCUGCAUUGAACACCUGGUCUGUACCAACACCAUUUUGGAGAGUGACCUGAUUUUUUGCAAUGAGGACAGGGAGGAUAAUCAUCACUCUUACCAGCAUUCUUGUUGAAUUCGACCUUCUUUUUUUCAUGUGGUUACUUCUUCACUCUAUAACUUGUUUGAGCUUUAUAUUUUCCUUUGACAAAUAAGGCACCUUCAACCUGUUCUUCCUGCCUUAAUAGUCUUCUUUGCUCAGUAGCUUGCAAGGCAUUAACCAACUCUGAUAAAGUUAUAGAAGACAGAUCUCUAGAAUCUUCAAGUGAGGAGAUCUUUGCCUCAAAUUUUUCUGGCAAGCUGAUCAAAACUUUCUCUACAAUCCUCCUGUCAGGUAAGUCAUCUCCCAAAAGCCUUAUUUUAUUUACCACCUUCAUCAGCCUGUCAGCAUAUUCUGAGUCAUUCAUCUUCAAGGUUUCAUACUCCCUUCUUAAGUUUAAAACCUGCACCGGCCUUUUUCUUGCAUUUCCCCUGAACUCUUCUUGUAAUCUGUCCCAAGCUUCCUUGGCCGUCUCACAAGUUAUUAUUCUGGUGAAAAUCGCAUCAGAAACUGCAGAUUGGAUGCAAGACAAAGCCUUGGAUUUCUUUGCUACCUCCUUACUAUGUUGCUUCAACUGAGUUAUGGUAGGAUUUGCCUUUAAAGGUAGUGAUUCAAUACCUGUUUCUGUGAUUUCCCACAGGUAAUAUGCUCUUAGGUAUGCCUUCAUCUUUGCUGCCCAAAAGUCAUAAUUUUCUCCUGUAAACACAGAUGGCAAUGGAGCUGAAAAACCACUUGAAGCCAUCCCUCUCAGGUCUGAUUUUUUCGGCUGAUCUGGUGAAGGUUUUGGUAGAAGUUUCCUCAUUUGUUUUCUCUCUUUUUCUGUCUCACAACCUUGCCUUUUUCUCUAAGAUUCUUUUGCUCUGAUACCACUGUUGUAGAAUACUUGAUACAAAGAGGAAGAAGAAACUGAAAUCACAGAGGCAAAAAGAGGCAG
Molecule: long non-coding RNA, 2492 nt
Filed under: Olea europaea subsp. europaea
Lineage: Eukaryota; Viridiplantae; Streptophyta; Magnoliopsida; Lamiales; Oleaceae
Source: RNAcentral